UACAGAGGGUGCGAGCGUUGUCCGGAAUCACUGGGCGUAAAGGGCGCGUAGGCGGCUGGGUAAGUCGGAGGUGAAAUCCCGUGGCUCAACUGCGGGGCUGCCUUCGAGACUGCCUGGCUCGAGCGCGGUAGAGGCUGGUGGAAUUCCCGGUGUAGCGGUGGAAUGCGUAGAGAUCGGGAGGAACAUCGGUGGCGAAGGCGGCCAGCUGGGCCGUUGCUGACGCUGAGGCGCGAAAGCGUGGGGAGCAAACAGG
RNAcentral lists this ribosomal RNA (253 nucleotides) under uncultured bacterium. RNAcentral describes it as "partial 16S ribosomal RNA". It matches the Rfam family "Bacterial small subunit ribosomal RNA", at positions 524 to 776 of the family's 1533-position model. The record is from RNAcentral.